GACGAACGCUGGCGGCGUGCCUAACACAUGCAAGUCGAGCGGAGACAGGAGGGAGCUUGCUCCCGAGCGUUUUAGCGGCGGACGGGUGAGUAACGCGUGAGCAACCUUUCUCUCAGUGGGGAAUAACACAGGGAAACCUGUACUAAUACCGCAUGAGACCACAAUGCCGCAUGGCAUAGGGGUCAAAGAUUUAUUGCUGAGAGGUGGGCUCGCGUCCGAUUAGAUAGUUGGUGAGGUAACGGCUCACCAAGUCGACGAUCGGUAGCCGACCUGAGAGGGUGAUCGGCCACAUUGGGACUGAGACACGGCCCAAACUCCUACGGGAGGCAGCAGUGGGGAAUAUUGCACAAUGGGGGAAACCCUGAUGCAGCAACGCCGCGUGAAGGAAGACGGUUUUCGGAUUGUAAACUUCUAUCAAUAGGGACGAAAAAGAUGACGGUACCUAAAUAAGAAGCCCCGGCCUAACUACGUG
Molecule: ribosomal RNA, 472 nt
Filed under: uncultured bacterium
Lineage: Bacteria
Description: bacterial SSU rRNA
Rfam family: Bacterial small subunit ribosomal RNA
Source: RNAcentral